This is a long non-coding RNA of Chrysemys picta bellii (western painted turtle), 2485 nucleotides long. The record is from Ensembl. NCBI's taxonomy places the organism in Eukaryota, Metazoa, Chordata, Testudines, Emydidae.
CUCUCCCUGAGCCCUGGUCUUCCUGAGUACCUCCCCGGAGAGCCUGUUUCCCUCACAGGCUGGGAUGCCCAAGGGAUCACCAACUUGCAGGAUUCUGAUGUGACAAGUUCUCCAGCUCCUGUUACCCCUCUUAGUGCCAGUGCGGGGUCAAUACCCAUAACACAGGGUCAGGAUUUGGGGACUGGAAACCCUUCCCAUCCCCGUCAAUCCCUGUCUGUGCAAAUGCUCCCUAUGAUGCAGCACAAACAUUAGUUAAAACACACCCCAAGGGCCCUGUGGGACAAGGGGGCUGGUUUCAGAAACUUCGCCAUGAGAGAGGGAGAUCCCAAUUGGUGAGAAUAAAAAAAAUCCUGCACCUGCUUGUACUGAUACGUCUGUCUGACCGGGAGAUCCCAGCACGGAAGAACCAGCCCCUCUCCACCAGCCUGGGGGAGGCGGCAUUGGGCAGGGAGAUCGGGCUGGUUUGUGUGUGUUAGGGAUUUUUUCAUCUAUCUCCCAAUCCUCCUCAAUCACAGAGCGGAGCAGAUCCCCAAAUGGGUCUUCAGCCAGGGCACAUCAGUGAUCAGCACGACUUACUCAGCAAAGAGCAUGUGUGACGCUCCUCGGGGAUACCCAGGGCUCUGGGGCAUGUUCCUGCCACCUGCCCUUAGCGUGAGGAAGCCUGGUCUGUACUUGCUGGGGGCAGCUCCCUGACUGCCUGGUCUCAGCCGCACAAGCCCUCCCCUCCCCGCCCCUGCAGGCUGAGCUGGCCCUGGGCAGGAGCUGACCCCUCAGUUACCAAGGAGGGGACGCUGGUCCCACUGGGUUCCUUGGCAGUGAAAUCUCUGCUGCUCCGUGUUUGCAUGGCCCGGUGGGGACGUGGUACCUGAGCACUGAGUUGGGGCUGGCUGGGGUCUGUGUCCAGGAUCCCGCCCUCUUCUGCUCUUCAUUGGCCCUUCCUCUGCUUCUGUAUCACCAGCCACACAAGUAGCCAUCUCCUCCCCCGACCCCCUUGUCUUUUCCAGCCCCCCUCCCGACUCCCCAGCUCACCGUGUCCCCGCAGCAGCCUGUCUACAUAACUGGAGAAGCUGUGACCCUGACGUGCUCAGCUGCCAGGGCGUCCACUGUGUCCGGGGUCCGGUUCUUCAGAGAUGAUCAGGAAAUUCAGCGGAAGGAACUCCCCUCACCUCGGUACAGUUACACCAAUUCGAUUCCAGCGCAAGGCGGAACCUAUACCUGUGAAUCCUGGCAGACAGUGUCUGGGCGAGAAAUCACAUCAAACAGGAGCCGACCGAUCUCCAUAGCAGUCACAGACCCUCCUGCGGCCCCAUCCCUCUCCCUGAGCCCUGAUCUCCCUGGGUACCUCCCUGGAGAGCCUGUUCCCCUCUCAUGCUGGGCGCUCCUGGGUCACAAAGCUGCAGGAUUCCAAAUCGAUAUGGUGGGGUCAUGGAGCAUCUCCGCUAGGGGCUCAUCUGGGAUCUGUUAGGGAUUUUUUCAUCUAUCUCCCCAUCCUCCUUACUUUGUGGAGAUUCCCCAUUCUAUCUCCAUUCCGGACUCUCCACCAGCCCCAUGCUCUCUCUUGGCUCCCUGCACCCCAUCUCUAUCCGAGGGGAGUCAGUCACCCUCAAAUGCUCGGCUCCCAGGAGUGAGAGAGCGACGGGAUAGAGGUUCCUCAAUCACAGAGCGGAGCAGAUCCCCAAAGGGGUCUUCAGCCAGGGCACAUAAGUGAUCAGCACGGCUUACUCAGCAGAGAGCAUGUGUGACGCUCCUCGGGGAUACCCAGGGCCUCGGGCAUGUUCCUGCCAUCUGCCCUUAGCGUGAGGAAGCAUGGCCUGUGCUUACUGGGGGCAGCUCCCUGACUGCCUGGUCUCAGCCGCACAAGCCCUCCCCUCCCCGCCCCUGCAGGCUGAGCUGGCCCUGGGCAGUAGAUACCCCCGUCAGGUACCAAGGAGGGGACGCUGGGCCCAUUGGGUUUCCCGGCAGUGAGAUCUCUGCUGCUCAGUGUUUGCAUGGCUCAGCGGGUAACAGCUGCCCCUCAUCUCCCAGGUCCUUCCAGAGAUCUCUGCGGGGUCUGCCCUUCUUCUCUAUCUAACGCUGUCCCCUGUUUCCAGACCUGUCUGUAACCCUGUCCUGCCCCUUGAGUCGUGAUAUCCCCAGGUACCCACCCUGGAGAGCUGGUUCCCCUUACAGGCUGGGCUGUCCCAGGGGAUCACCAACUGGCAGGAUUGUGAUGUGACAAACUCUCCAGCUCCUGUUACCCCUCUUAGUGCCAGUGUGGGGUUAAUACCCAUCAUACAGGGUCAGGGUUUGGGGACUGGAAACCCUCCCCAGUGCUGUCAAUCCCUGUCUGUGCAAAUGCUGACUAUGAUGCAGCACAAACAUUAGUUAAAACACACCCCAAGGGCCCAGUGGGACAAGGGGGCUGGUUUCAGAAACUUCGCCGUGAGAGAGCGAGAUCCCAGCUGGUGAAAAUAAAAAAAAAACCUGGAAAUGAGUCUGUGGGUUC